GGAAGUAAAAGUCGUAACGAGGUUUCCGUAGGUGAACCUGCGGAAGGAUCAUUCAUAAUAAGUGUUUUAUGGCACUUUUUUAAAUCCAUAUCCACCUUGUGUGCAAUGUCAGGGUUGGUCUCUUUUGAUCAGCCCCAAACAUCAACUAUUAUCUCAACUCUUUGUCUGAGAAAUAUUAUGAAUAAAACAAUUCAAAAUACAACUUUCAACAACGGAUCUCUUGGCUCUC
RNAcentral lists this unclassified non-coding RNA (229 nucleotides) under plant metagenome. Its description in RNAcentral is "partial contains small subunit ribosomal RNA, internal transcribed spacer 1, and 5.8S ribosomal RNA". The stretch from base 1 to 54 matches the Rfam family "Eukaryotic small subunit ribosomal RNA", at positions 1778 to 1831 of the family's 1831-position model. The record is from RNAcentral.